GUGGGGAAUAUUGGACAAUGGGCGAAAGCCUGAUCCAGCCAUGCCGCGUGUGUGAAGAAGGUCUUCGGAUUGUAAAGCACUUUAAGUUGGGAGGAAGGGCAGUAAGUUAAUACCUUGCUGUUUUGACGUUACCGACAGAAUAAGCACCGGCUAACUUCGUGCCAGCAGCCGCGGUAAUACGAAGGGUGCAAGCGUUAAUCGGAAUUACUGGGCGUAAAGCGCGCGUAGGUGGUUUUGUAAGUUGGAGGUGAAAUCCCCGGGCUCAACCUGGGAACUGCCUCCAAAACUUCAUGACUCGAGUACGGUGGAGGGUAGUGGAAUUUCCUGUGUAGCGGUGAAAUGCGUAGAUAUAGGAAGGAACACCAGUGGCGAAGGCGACUACCUGGACUGAUACUGACACUGAGGUGCGAAAGCGUGGGGAGCAAACAGGAUUAGAAACCCGGGUAGUCC
RNAcentral lists this ribosomal RNA (450 nucleotides) under uncultured bacterium. RNAcentral describes it as "partial 16S ribosomal RNA". It matches the Rfam family "Bacterial small subunit ribosomal RNA", at positions 354 to 796 of the family's 1533-position model. The record is from RNAcentral.